RNAcentral lists this ribosomal RNA (761 nucleotides) under uncultured Bacilli bacterium. RNAcentral describes it as "bacterial SSU rRNA". It matches the Rfam family "Bacterial small subunit ribosomal RNA", at positions 34 to 776 of the family's 1533-position model. Lineage: Bacteria; Bacillati; Bacillota; Bacilli. The record is from RNAcentral.
CGCUGGCGGCGUGCCUAAUACAUGCAAGUCGAGCGGACCGACGGGAGCUUGCUCCCUUAGGUCAGCGGCGGACGGGUGAGUAACACGUGGGUAACCUGCCUGUAAGACUGGGAUAACUCCGGGAAACCGGGGCUAAUACCGGAUGCUUGAUUGAACCGCAUGGUUCAAUCAUAAAAGGUGGCUUUCAGCUACCACUUACAGAUGGACCCGCGGCGCAUUAGCUAGUUGGUGAGGUAACGGCUCACCAAGGCGACGAUGCGUAGCCGACCUGAGAGGGUGAUCGGCCACACUGGGACCGAGACACGGCCCAGACUCCUACGGGAGGCAGCAGUAGGGAAUCUUCCGCAAUGGACGAAAGUCUGACGGAGCAACGCCGCGUGAGUGAUGAAGGUUUUCGGAUCGUAAAACUCUGUUGUUAGGGAAGAACAAGUACCGUUCGAAUAGGGCGGCACCUUGACGGUACCUAACCAGAAAGCCACGGCUAACUACGUGCCAGCAGCCGCGGUAAUACGUAGGUGGCAAGCGUUGUCCGGAAUUAUUGGGCGUAAAGCGCGCGCAGGCGGUUUCUUAAGUCUGAUGUGAAAGCCCCCGGCUCAACCGGGGAGGGUCAUUGGAAACUGGGGAACUUGAGUGCAGAAGAGGAGAGUGGAAUUCCACGUGUAGCGGUGAAAUGCGUAGAGAUGUGGAGGAACACCAGUGGCGAAGGCGACUCUCUGGUCUGUAACUGACGCUGAGGCGCGAAAGCGUGGGGAGCGAACAGG